This is a long non-coding RNA of Peromyscus maniculatus bairdii (prairie deer mouse), 307 nucleotides long. RefSeq lists it as uncharacterized. The record is from RefSeq and is a predicted model, not a curated record. Lineage: Eukaryota; Metazoa; Chordata; Mammalia; Rodentia; Cricetidae.
AAAAUCCUUUCCUUUACCAACAAGCUCAAGUAUAUUCCUGACUUUCUCCUUUAUAGGAUUCAGGUUAUCAGGUCUUAGGCUGAGGUCCUAAAUCCAUUUAGAAUUUGGUUUUGUGCAAGGUUUUAUCAUUAGAACUGUGCUGUUCAAUCUGCGCCUUCCAGGAUUACGGCCUACACUCGGCUCUGACAAGCUACAAUUAUUUUCUUUAAAAAAAAAAAAAAAAAAAAAGGACAGCGCCUGUGGGGUUUUCUUCUGAUUACAAGGGACAACAUAUUUUUUGUCAAUAAACCUACUUUUCUUUCUGUGA